CAAAACCAGAAUGCAUUUUAGCUUCUUUCUCUCCACAUUUUACUUCUACGCCGAAAAAUCACAAGAAAAUUAAGCUAUCAAUUUGCCCCUUUCUCGCUGCUUACCUCCAACUAAAAUUGCUAUGCACGACACAUCGGUUACAUCCCAUGGCUUACAUUUGUUGGCUGCUAACGUCUCCUCACUCCGCUGAGUGAAGGAAAUACCAUACAUAUGAUGGCAAGCGGAGAGAUCAAAAUGGUACUGCCACUUACUGCACACAUCUGGAAUACAGGUAUAUGAACUUGACUACAGAAACUGUAGGAUACUCAAUAAAAGGUUCCACAAAUUGUGCCUCCCCUUUCUUGAGAUGUUACUUGCUGUUCUUGGGUUCCAUCCAUCCUUUAUAUUCCCUUCACUUUUCAUACGACUAAUAUUUCAGAUGUAACGGAAAGCUAACUGCAUGCUAUUUGUUUGGAAUUCCCCGAUCCAUCUCCCUGCAGCUUUGAACCAGAAGAUAAUGUCCUUGGAGGUCACAGAUCUUUGGAUAGAAGUACAUCUGUUGAAUACCUCAGAGGUCACAGAAGAUAAUAAUGUCCUUAGCGUAAGAUGAAUACCAGAAGCUGCUUAAAGACGUUGCCUUUAACUGGUGCAAUUAUCCCGUGUGAUCCACGAGUCAACACCAAUGAGUCUUGGUUUUGAUCUCGCUCCAGAAACCAUAUCAGAGGAAGCCAAAGAAGAUUCAUCCGGCGGUUUCCAUCAAACAGAGACCACUAUGGCAACUUUCCCACCCGUCUAAUGUUGGCAUUUGUGGCUGCAAAGAUGGCUGAACUUCAAAUCCUUUGUGAACUUUCCCCAUCAAGUACCGGCUUACGCCUCCCACUUUCUUGAGACGUUUCUAGUGCCUCUUUGGUACCAUCCCUCUUCUUUUUUCCCUUAACGAUUUAUAUGACCAAUAAGCUCAGAUGUAACAGAAGGGAGCUGCCUCCAUUUGUUUGGAGUUCCCUAAUCCAACGGCAUGCAGCUCUGAAACAGAAGAUACUAUCCGCAGAAUUACACACAUUUUGGUUUUCCUACUUCGGAUGGAGGUGCAUCUGUUAAAUCCCCCCCACGAGAAAUGAGAAAAGAAUACUAAGUCAACUGAACUAGCAACACUGGGGUCUACUUUCCAAUGUAGGAUAAAUACCAGCUUAAAAACACCCUUGUAAUCGAGAGCUCAGCACCAGUGAGUCUUGGCUAUGAAAUGGCUUCUGAAAAUAUAUCAGAUGGAGCUAAAAGGCAUGAGAACCAAAAAGAUCUAUCCAGCAGUCUGCAACGAACAGACCACUAUUAUGGCAACUUUCCCACCCUCCUCGAGUUGGUAUUUGUGCUUGCAAAGAUGGCUGAACUUCAAAUCCUUUGACCUUUGCCCAAAGUACUGACCAUUUACGAGGACACUUGUAUUCUUCAAGUGUAGCAACUUGGAGAUGAAGAGGAACUAGAUAGACACGGCACCUGCAACUUGGUUCCAUUCUGAGGCCAAAAAACUACACUUUCUGUAAGUUAUUUGUGCCAAACACUCUGGAACAAUAUACAUUUUUUGACUUGUUCCACCCGAUAAAAUUGCAUCGAUUUAACAUUCAGUGUGGUGUCAUGAAAAAUGCGUGGAACUCAAGUUAUCUGUGAUCUCUUUCGUCCGAGAUUGUGAUCGUAAUAAAGUUCAUAUUUCCGCCGGAGUUUGGUUCUGGCAUUCUGCACUUAUUGAUCUGAGUAUUUCUUCUAAUCUUGAGGGGAAUCACACCUUAGAUCGCUUCAGAUACACCAUAACUCCAAUGCUUGUUACUGCAAUGGUUCCUGCUAAAAUUCCAGCUCUAAGUGAUGUCCAUUCAUUUCUCUGCAUUGUGGAAAUACCUGACUUUGAACUUAGAAUUAUCUUAUUGGUCCCUGGGUCAUCAAUGUGCAGCCUUAAAACCUGAAUAAUCAAACGGUACAAGAAAUGAGAAAGCCUCACUUACCAAUUUCAUUGAACAGAUCCAAUUUAAAGUGAGAAGCAACUGUUAGUGCUCAGUACUAAAGCACUAGUGGAAGAACAAAAAUUUUAUUCUACAAGACGCAGCACCAGACUCACAUCAUCAAUGAAGUCAUUGUUUAGAGUAUCAGGACUGACCAACUUCCUUCCCUUCCUAAUGUCCAACAAUCUUUAUUUGCAAUAAAUGAAGGAACUAUCACUCUUAAAUCUAAAUCAGCAAAGAUAUGCUAAACACAUUUAGCAGACUGAUUCCCUUUUAUUACUUAAGCAAUGGCAUUCCACAUAUACAAAUGUCACAUUAAGCUAUGUAAGAAAAGAGUAUCGCAGAGCUGGACUAAUAUGGAUAUUUAUGUCAAUACAAAGUUACCACGAGAGAAAAUACGAUGUAUUGGGACAUGCAAGUACACUAAAAUACAUGAGAAAAAGAUCCAAUAAAUGAGUAUAAUUUCUUAAAUGAAAGACAGAAUAUGCUACCACAGAUUGGUGAUCAAUAUAGUAUUCAAAUAAUUCUACAGAUCUUUAUCAUUUGAGAAGAUGGACCCGGAUCUUUAUCACUAGAAACUAAUGAAACUUGACCCUAAAGAGCCAAAAAUAGUGACUACAUCGAAACUGCUAAAGUUGUCACAAACUGAACAUAAAAGUAAAGUCCUUAGAAUCAAAUACACCAUAUUAAAUGCAUUGCUCUGAGGUUUCGGGUUUCGUUUCCAUGAUAAUGUUGAUGAUUUGAUCAGAGAAGAAGAAACAAUUACCUUCCAUCCAGUUAAUUUUGCAUGGUUUAUUGCUCCAACAAGACCAUCAUCGGAGGAGAGUAGAACUUUAUCUCCUUCAUUGUCUUCAUACUCCAUCAUACGCAAUGAUCAAAUCUCAGACCAGCAAAAGGAAAACAAACUUACCAAGAGUUUAAUUCUGCAUUUAUCACCAUCAAGCCCAAGUCUCUAGGUUACAGCCGAUACAAGCUCAACUAGAGUCUUCGUACCUAACAAGAGAAAAGGGCAUACACAACGAUCACAUAUUUGAUGUUUGUCAGGAGUGAAGUAAUAACCCUACUUCUGAUAAAAAUAAUCUUUAUUGUACUUACCACAUUUGAAUCUAUGCAUAUGUCACUUUUGGUCUUUAAACUUGAAGGCAAAUGAAUUUCCAAAGAGAGGAGGAUACAUAUUCUUGGCCUCUGCAUCCUCUGAUGUCAUCACAGCAGAUAGCUCACUGGCAAAGAGAAAGUUGGAUUCUCAUUUAGCCUGCCUACUAGGAAAAUCCAACUUGACAAGGAACCAAGAAGAUACCUAUGUGUAUCAUAUUCCUGAUAUCCUGUCUCCAGAGCAGAAGCAGAAUCCCAGAACUUCGCUUCACAAUGUCUACCACGCCAUUUAUAGCUCCAGUAUCUCCUUCAACCUACAAGUGGAUAUAGUUCUUUUAAGUUAGCACAAAAGAGUAUUUUGGUCAAGAUAAAGAUACUGCUACCAUAUCAGAAAUCAUGUUACGAUAAACACCAGGAGACACUAAAACUCUUGUACAUGUUCUGCAUAAACGUGGAACAUUAAAAAAAUACCUUGCUUCAAUACAUGCAUGUGAGCAACUUGACUGUUGAUAACAAGGUCUUUGGAUCAAAUCUUAUCUUCAUGAUUUACCACUCGAAAAGAAGACAUGUAUGUUAUGCAUGCAUAGUAUAAAUCAGUAAUUAAUAUAAAAAAUCUAAACCUAGAUUUUGAAAGAUUUUUAAUAUGACAAACAAUAAGAUAUGACUGAGAUGCUAGUCACCGUCUACCUCCUUUACCCCUGUUUAAUGUAGAACCAUUGCCUCAAGAGAACAAUUUUCAGACAUGACAGAGGUGACAUGGCACAAAACUUAAAGCCUUGAGCCAAUUUCCUAGGAUUUUACCGUUUAUGAGAUUCUGUAUCUGCAUCAAUACCCAGUGUCCAAUUAUCUGGUAUAUUUACUCUUGGUGAACUGGAGUGUACAGGUAACAAACCAUCAGGAUUAAGGUCUUGCUGGCACUUAGUAUGUAUGGUUGGCACGGUAUCCAUGCAACAUAAGAAGCAAAAAAGAGCAUUUUUAAUUCUUAAUUUCUUUGCACCAAGUUUCGGAAGCCUGAAUUUGCAUGGCUAUGCAUUUGCAUUCCAGACAUGAAGAUAUCUCAGAAUUUUAUUGUUAUAGAGAAGGUUAUUACAUGAAAAUAAAUCCAGAUCCCAACCAUUCGAUUUAAGUCAACUAAAAGUUAGCAGUCUAGUAUAGAAAUAAAAAAAAUUAAACAAAUUUAAUUAUUUUGGACACAAGAUUAGAGAGGUAUAACUUGGUGACACUUACUUACCAUCAGGAUCACAGCACUGGUUACUUGAAGAACAUCCAAACAAGCAACAACAUGAUCUUCUGUGAUAUAAGCAGGUUGGAUAAAUGAAGCAUAGAAAUUCAUCAUCGAUGAAAAGCAAAAGCAAAUUACCUCUGCUUAGCACUGGAAGAUAUAAAAAAUUACUGUCACGCGUUAGAUGCAAUGCCUCAAGAAUAGUCAUCUCCAUUGUAGCACACUCAGUGUUUGCAGUCAUUACCUUUGCAUCUCAAAAAUGACUCAUGGUUAGUAAAUAUCCAGAUUUCGUGGAACAAAAUCAGAAGCAAUAAAAAUAUCAUAUAAGAAAAGUUAACAGAACACAAUUCAAUAUUAAGUCACAGUUAAAUGUCACUUAAUCAAAAUUUAAUACUAUACUUUGACUUUUCCAGACAACUUAGAGAAUUUAUUUCAUACCUCAUACAUGAGCUAUACGAUCAUCUAAAGAAAGAACUUUGCAAAAUGAGUUCAGCAGAAGAUACCUUUUCUAAUGGAGUCAGUUCAGGAGAAAGAUGUUGAGCAACUACACACAUAACCACAUCCUUUGAGCUGCAAUAUGUUGCAUUUGGGCAGACAUCAAUAAUCACUAUGAAGCAGUGGCAACAGAAAGGCAACAGAAGUGACAGUACUACAGCAAGCGAGCUUCAAAUGCAAAAAAAAGAAAGAAAGAAAGAAAAUCCAAGAAAGGAACAUACGUUAGAACCCCUUGAAGCCCAUUUCUGGUUGCAACAAUGACCGAGUAAACUUGGAAUUCAAGCAUCUUUUUUGUGGCAACAUAGACAGAAUCUGAAGGAGAUACUAGCACAACCCUGAAUUUAGAGAUAAUUAGAAAGCAUAUAAAACCAUAUUCUUGCUAAAACAUAUGGCAUCAAACAAUUGUGAUUCACCAAGCGCUACAUAUUUCUGAAAAAAAUGCAACUAUACCUCACAUUCUCUGAGAUGAUAGUUGACAGAACAGGAUUACAUAUAUUUUGGUGAAGAGCUUCAGUGAAUGUAUAAGGAACUGCAGCCAGGAACAAAUUCAUAAAGUUACUAAAUUCAAGGACUGAUAACAAAUGUGUUCGGGAUUAAUCUAAGUUCCAUCUUUCUCUGUUCACCAAUAAAAUGAUUCAAGGACUAAAUUACAUAGAGAUUAAUCUUAAAAGAACCAAACAGUCUUUCACUUGACAUAGGAGCUGAUGAUUAAGUCUGCUAGUUUGAAUAUGAUAGUUAAAAGGCUUUCCAAGACAUAACAAAAAAGGAGCUACAAGAUAUUCUACUUCCCUACAUAAAAUAAUCGUUUUAUGGUCAGUAUACCAUCAAAAUGAAUUAUUAGCACCGUCCAGUAUCAGUCUAUGCUAGAGAGGUUAGAACUCAUCUCAUCCUUUUUCAUUGUAUAAUCACAUUUCUGUCUUUACUGGCAAGUAAAUAUAGUGUGCGCAAAAGAUAUUAUGCUAUGAAUGCCACAAGCCAUCCUAUUCUAAUCCACAAAGUAAAUCUGCUGACCUGAAAAUUUACUUUCCAUUUGACUUUCAAGACCCUUGAGUGCAGCUGUUAUAGCAUUGCCUUGCUCCAUAGCCUUUUCUAUUCUUGAAAUAGCAUCAAACAGGCACUUAGCAAUGUUCAACAUGGCAAUAACCUCACCAUUUUCUACAACUGGAAGGUGCUUAAAUUUUCCUGUAGAAAUGAAAUAUGGAAAGGAAAAGGAUUAAGUAUCAUGAUGGAAUACUUGUUGUAAUAGCUAAGAAAAAAAUUAUAAUACACUUGGGUUCAUGAGCUUGAUACUAAAUUUUGAAUUGAUCAAAAAGAUGCAAAAUACUAUGACGCAUAACAAAAUUGUUUUGUAUAGCAGAACAUGUCUCCAAACCCACAGCGUCUCAUGACAUUAUCUGAAAAUUGCUUACAGGGUUCGAGGGUUUCAACCUUUCAAUCAGAAACCAAAGUCAUCACUAACAGAACUGUCAUGGUUUUGUCAAUGCAAGAGUCUCACAGGUUUCAAGAGAUUCUGAGUCAGACAAAAAAGAAAGUUCUCAACUGGAAAACUGAUUCUUGCAACAAAAUCUCUUGCUUCAACCUUUUAUUGACAGUGGCAGCAUCUAAAUUCUUCUAAUUCCAUCACAUAACUAUGAAAUUUAAAGCCAACUAUUAUACUGCAGAUAAAUCCACAGAAGGCCUUUGGUAGAUUAAUCAGGGAUCUUAAUACUAUUCAUAUAGAGUGAGUUUGGCUAGUCAUAUAUUUGGAUGCAACUUUUCAAGUAACAACAACAAAGAACAAGCCAAUGUAUUUUAAACAUCUAGGCUGUCAAGCAAAGUAAAACUUAUUAUGUUGUUUUCUUGUACGUUUCCUAUGACAAUUUACGGGAUUGUCAGCAAGCAUCCUACCAAAGAUUCUGCAGAAAUUAAAUUAAAGAUCGAACAAGAAAGGGGUACCUUGAAUCAUCUUCUGCAAUGCCUCGAUGGCCAGCGUAUCUGCCAUGACGAACGUUGGGUUCCUAGUCAUAAUCUUUGAAAUGAUCGUCUUCUCUGGGUCCAAACCCUCUGCUACAACCCUCGUCGCUACAUCCUAUCCGGAAAAUAACACCAGAAAAAGAACGCAGCCAAUCAACCUCAACUCACGAGAUAACGCAAUCAUGUCAAGAGAAAUGAGACAACCUUAGCGGUCACAAUACCAGAGAGAAACUCAUUGGCAUCCGUCAGCAGAACGGCAUCCACCCUACGAGCAGCCAAUCUCAGGCACGCCUCAGAAACCGUCGUCCCCUCGGAGAUGAUCAGGGCUUUCGACAACCUCAGCCUCUUCACCCUCCUCUCCCCCCUGUUCCAACUCGAUCAUCAACGGAGAUGAUUGAUCAAGAAUCAGCAGAUCAACGAGCAAUAAAGACGAUGCUUACGAGGCUCGGUUAGUGGACGCGGGUUUGGAGAAGCUCCCGUAGGGUGAGUUGCCGCCGUUGCCGCUCCUUCCCGGAACCGGGAUCUGCACACGGUGCGCGACGUCGGUGACCAUCGCAGCGGAAACCCUACGAAUUGGGGCGGAGAAAGAUGAGAUCGGAAGAGAGAGAAGAGAGUAGAAAGGCGGGCAGUUUUGGGUUCGACUCGUCUCCUAUUUAAACAGCCACUCCCUCGCUCCUCCAUCUCGACCCCAAUAUAACGGUUCGCGAUCAUUAUACCGGCCGUUAUUAUGACUCAAGCGAAACGUGUUAUAUAUUAGGCGGACCGUUACAACGGCUAUUAUUUUGACUUCAGUCAAACAAGUUGGAGAUUAUUGACCGUUUAUUUUGACUUCACUUCAGUGAGACACGUUAUAGUAUCGGACACGAUUUAUAUGCAUGAAUGAGUUGCAUUUACGUUCUGAAAGAUAUGAUUACCAUAGAUUAACGUAUCAUACGUGACAUGUUAUCGUCCACAUUAUGCCCCAAAACGCAUGAAUGACAAAUAAGGAAUGUGAUCACGUAACAAAUCACUUCAAUCAUACAAUAAAUAAAGAAGGCGAUCAUGCAAUCAAUUCCUUUCAUCGUCAUGUAACCAAUCGGGAAGGUGACUAUUCAAACAUAAGAAAUGAAUCGAAUGCAAUGAUCAUCGAGAAAUCCUUUGACACAAUUACAAAUCUAGCCAUUAAGAAAUAUAUUUCAAUUAUGAUUUUAUUUGAUUCUUAAAUAGUUCAUCGAAUCGAGCCUUUCAAAACACAUGAAUUUUCACUCCGAUCAUUCAAUGAAUUCUUCUAAUCGUAUAACAAAUGAAUCUAUCUAAUCAUGUAACAAACGAGGAAGAUUGUAAUUGUACAUCUACUAUCAAUUCCUUUUAUUAUGUAACAAAUCAGGAGAGUGAAUAUAAUCACCUUCAAGUAUUUAUUACAGUCCCUAUGAUUAUGAAAUCUAGUCGAGUAGAUCUUUCGUCACACAACAAAUUAAUCAAAAUUUAUGUAAUAAUAAUAAUAUUAUUAUUAUUAUUAUUGUAGCUUUCAUUGCAAAGAUCAAUGAGGCUAAAUUGGUCAGGCCGACUUGCGUUCUACGCGGGCCAAGACAGGAUUCAGGGCCUACCUGAAAGCAUUGCACGAGAGUGGAUCAGAACCGUUCAUUUCCUUUGUUAUCCAUUAUCUGUGAUUACCCAGGUGGGUCUGCUGGGUCCCAGUGGCUGCCAGUUAUACUUGUACAGGGGAGGUAGGUGAGACGAGUAGGUAGCAAAGAGUAUUAGGAAAUCGCGACGGUUCGGAGCUCCCCGCCAAGUCACCACCAAUACAUUCUACCGAUACAUCCUAUUCCCGCCCGCUCGCGUGCCUUUACCUCCCAAAAGCGCCGCAAGUCUUCGAAUAAACCUCCCUUCAACCCCGCAUUCUUUGCUUCCUUGUUCCUCACGCCUCCUCUGCUGCUGCUUCGUUCGAGCUCUCGAACGACGGCCUCCCUUUCGGCUUCCGAAGAUAGCUGUUCUCGGCAAGGGGCCUUGUUCUUCCGGUGGUGUUCGUGCGUGGAUUCGGUGGCGUGGGUGGAUGAUGGAGAUGUACGAGCUGGUGAAGGACAUCGGAUCGGGCAACUUUGGGGUCGCGCGGUUGAUGAGGAACAAGGACACGGGCGAGCUUGUUGCCAUGAAGUACAUCCCCCGAGGCCCCAAGGUUCGAUAUUUGCUUCCGUUUUCUUCUUCCGGUAUGGUGCCGAUCGAAUCCCCUGAUUGCGGUGUCGUUCCGUCCCAUUACGGGUGUCGCAGAUCAACGAGAACGUUGCGAGGGAGAUAAUCAACCAGCGGUCGCUGAGUCAUCCCAACAUCAUCCGUUUCAAAGAGGUCGAAUUUUCGAGCGCUAGAAAGCCCUAAUCGCGUCGCCUUAAGAGGGUUUGGGUAGUCAAUUUGGCUCGUUGUUCUUUUGACCGCAGGUGAUGCUGACGCCCACGCAUCUGGCAAUCGUGUUGGAAUACGCCGCCGGCGGAGAGCUCUUCGACCGCAUCUGCCACGCCGGAAGAUUCAGCGAAGAUGAGGUUCUACUUUCUUCCUCAAUGUUUCCUCCGUUUUCUUUGGGUAGCAAGCAAGCUCUCAAUUUCUUCAACACAGUCUCCCAAAUCGCUUUCUUAACCUUCAGCUGCGGCGUAUGCAGGCGAGAUAUUUCUUUCAGCAGCUCAUCUCCGGCGUCAGCUACUGCCAUUUCAUGGUAAAACCUCCCCUCAAAAUCACAUUUUCAGUCCAAAAAAAAGUAAUCUUUCUCCGAGAUCGUACGACGAUUACAAUUGUUCCAGCAAAUCUGCCACCGGGAUCUGAAACUGGAGAACACCUUGCUCGACGGCAGCCCGGCGCCGCGCCUCAAGAUCUGCGACUUCGGUUACUCCAAGGUUACCGAUCCUUCUUUCGUCUCCUAAUCCAUUUCCGAGUCAAUGGCAAUUCCUCUAUCCAACAAAAAUGUGCCUUUUGUCUUCAUGUGCGCGUGAAACAGUCGUCGCUGCUUCACUCCCGCCCCAAGUCGACGGUGGGCACGCCCGCAUACAUCGCCCCCGAAGUCCUCUCGCGGCGUGAGUACGAUGGCAAGGUCAGCCCCGCAUCCAUUCCUCUCUCUCCUUCCUCUCUCUUCCUCCGCGUUCUGCUUUCCAUCUCGAAAGGGCCCCGAGGGGAUGCGGACGACGACUCGCUGCGGCGUGUACACACCGGAGAAUCAUCAGUAAAGAUGAUCUUGUCGCAGACGACGUCCACCCGGCUGCGUGGGGCCCCGGUGGUGGUUGGUGCAGAGCUGUGCUUGGCAUUUUUAGGAGACAGAACAUGGUGAUCGUGACUUGCAUUGAAGACGAAGCAUAAUCGCAUUGGGUUCGCUUGACCAUUAAUCUAUCUUUUGAUGCUCCCUUUUUUGUUCUCUGUGCUGCAGUUCUCCUCUGUAAGCUGAUUCUAAUUAGUGUAUUUAAUGGUGCAGAUGGCUGAUGUGUGGUCCUGUGGGGUUACUCUGUACGUGAUGCUCGUGGGAGCAUAUCCCUUUGAAGACCCAGAAGACACCAAGAAUUUUAGGAAAACCAUGACGGUAGUGGUUAUAGCUCUUAUCCUCUCCUCCAUCGUCUCCUUCUUCGAUGUUCUCAUGUCUUGUUUGGACCGCAGAGGAUCAUGUCAGUGCAGUACACAAUACCCGAGUACGUCCAUAUUUCAAAGGAUUGCAGGCAACUGCUCUCCGGGAUCUUUAUGGCCGACCCAUCGAAGGUAGUUUGGUCCUCCAAAGCCUCACGGUAGAAUCUGAUUCAGAUGUUACCGUAAUGGAUUGACUUGCUGCUGUUUUAUCCAGAGGAUAACGAUUAGGGAGAUAAGGCACCACCCCUGGUUCUUGAAGAACUUGCCCAGGUCGCUGACCGAAGCAGCACAAGCUAUAUACUACAAGAGGGACAACACUGCGCCUACCUUCUCUCUUCAGAGUGUGGAUGAGAUAAUGAAGAUUGUUGAGGAGGCAAGGAUAACUCCGGGCUCGCCUGCUCCGGCAGCAGGCUUUGCCUGGGCCAAGGAGGACGAGCUGGAGGAAGGCAAGCACGAGAACCAAGAGACUGGAGUGGAAGAAGAGGAAGACGAUGAUGAGUACGAUAAGAGGGUCAAGGAAGUCCAUGCCUGCGGAGAGUAUCCAAUCAACUGACGGCAGCAACUCAUCUUAUCUUAUCUUACUAUAUAUACAUAUAUAUAUAUAUACAGAUAUUGGAUUUCCCAAUUAAACUUAUUGGAAUUCCUGCUGGUUAUAGAAUAUAAGGAGGAUGUUUGUAUACUCGAUACUUAGAUUAUGAAAGCCAAUGUAAUUGUCUUUUCUUGUAACAUAGAAAUUUGCCUGAAGCAAGUGAUCUCUAAAGGUGUUUAUUUGGGAGGUGGAUGUGUAGGUUUUGAGCAUCUCACAGCCAGCUGCUACUCAUCAGAUAUCUUGUUGAAACUGUGAUGGUGGAUGGUAAGUUCUCAACAUCCCACAGCUAGCAGAUGUACUCAUUAGAAGUCUUGCCUGUGUCAGUCAAUGAUAAGCAAGCAGGAGGAAUGCCUAAAGACAAGCAUGUGAAGAGCAAAUGAGACUUGAUGUUUGUAGACACACUGGAAACAAGGUUGCAGCACAUCAACAUCAUAUGUAGGUGAAGUUGCAGCCCAAACAUCAGUGAUAGAUUGAGCUACUUCUGUCAACAGUGCUAUAUAAAGGCCUUUAGGUGAGCUGAACGAGUGAGAGAGAGACGAUCAUCACUUCUUUUUGGUUCUUCUACCUUUUGAGACAAUCCAUGAUUGAAAGAGAGCUCAUCGGAGAACAUGGAAUCACACGAUUCAUGAGUUCUAUUACAUUCUUUGAUUUCAGAAACCUAAAGCUAAAUCUAAUGGUAGUUGCGCUGUCCUUAUUCUCCUCCGACAUGCGUCAGCCAUUUUACCGCACGCACAAAAGCUUCACGGAGCAGGCACGUACGGGCAUGCAAGGAGAGACGGCAAAGGCAAGGCUCAGACCACGCAUGCGUCGCCCACCAAGUCUUACCCAUGCCAAGCCCCUGUUGCUCGACAGUGCCAGCUUUGGUGGUGAAGAGGCAGAAGAAGACAGACGAGCUGCUGCAGAAUUAUCAUGGCCAGCGACGAUGACUGAUGCAGACAGCUCGGCCUUCAAAUCUACAACACAUGUAUGCUAUUGCUUUGCUGAUCAGAAUACCCAUGGAUGAGUUCCUUAUCCAGCUGUGAGUGAAAAGAUGAGCACGAAGAUGGAUCAAAGUUGAUGCUCGUGGAGUAAAAUAAUCAAACACCUUGCUGUUCAUCUUAGAAUAAGAAUGUGGAUAAAGGUGGAGCAAUCUGGAGUUGACUGGCAGAUGAGUAUUCUGCUACCUGGCAUCGCAUUAACGGGAGGUCAGUAUGCAAGAGACGGAAUGUUCUUUCGGAAUCGAGAUGUCUUUGAAGGAAGAGAUGGUUAUCAUCAGCAUUAGAUGCUCCAUCUGACGCCCACCUUCAAUGGCGUGGCUGCCCAUGUCGCCUGGCGGUAGGUUAGGAAGCAGCAGCAGCAGUCAUAUAAUUUGAUGGUGCCCUCCUCACUUUCCUAAUCGUCAUCAAACAAUUCAGCACCACUUGUCUCAGUCCUUUGGGGAAGCAGAUGAAGUGAAAGAGACAGACAUGCAUGUAGUCAUCUUUUUGACCCGUAAGUAGUGAUCCAUACACACACUAUUUUUGCCUAAAAAUAUUAUAUAUAUAUAUAUAUAUCCACCGGCAUCAGCUUCUGGCCGCCGAUCAGGUCGCAGAAGGCCUACAAGAAGGCGGCUCGGCAGCAGAGUCGGUGGCGAUUCCGCAGACACAUAUUUGAGGAAACGUCUCAGAGAAAAUCUCUGCAAAGAUGAGCAGCAGACUCGUCCACCACAGCAGCAGCAGGAAAAAGGAGGAGGGGUUAGCCCUUCGUCUCCAUAGUCGGCCUCCAAGUCCGUGAGGGGGACCAGCAGCCUCCAAUUGCAACAGCUGCCGUCGAGCGUCCUGCCUCCGGCUGCAAUGUGGGCGGUUGCCCCAAAUAACGGAGCUGGGCUCCGUUCUGGAUGCUCCCCGUCACGGCAGGAUCAGCGGGCCCAAGCACCACUACAGUUCAUGCCACAGCCAACGAGCGGCCUGGUGGCGCAGCAUCCUGGGCUGAGCACGUCGGAGACUAAUCGGCGGAUGCUCGCGGCAUUCAAUGCUUAUCGUAGAGGUGGUGGCCGGAGCAUGAAUUCUGAGCACCACCAGCCGAUGAAUCACCAUCACCUAGUCCAACCCCCUACCUGUCAUCAACAAGGUGCAGACAGCAGAGAAGACCACCAAACCAGCUCAGAGUUUGCAGUGUCAAAAGAAGAUUAUCUGUUCAGGAACAAAUAUUUCAGCUUGUCAAUGAAUCUCUUCUUGGUUCUUUUCCUUCUGUGCAUCCAAGUGGUUCCACUUCUCAUCCCUGCAUUCAUAUGGUGUAUCUUCUUUUCUAUGUUCACGUUCAUGAGGGUCUCCAUCUCCAAUGAUUACAGUAUUCUGAGCCACCCGAUUGGUUAUAAUCCUAUUGCAUGGAGAUUAAUGACAAGAAUUAUGUACACUAAGUUCAAAUUGGCUUCAAAAAUCAAAACAAUACUAUUAGUGAUUUGAUUGAUAAACCAAGAAAGAUACACAUAGAAAGAUGUUGUAAUGUUGUAAUUUCAUGUUCAUUGGCUUGGACUAAUGUAGAAUCUUCAUUCUUGCUGAGAACUUGGUAUUUUACAUUGUAGUUAUUAAAAGCUUCAAGGUAUAUUGGUUUCUUUCUUAUUUAUAUUGUAAUAAUAUUAGUGUUCAAUUAUAGAAUUCAUUUAUACAAUACUCAGUUCUUCAUUUGAGUUUUCUUAAGAUCUUAAGCUUUUGGAACUGUUGGUAACUAAUCAAUCAGACAUUUAUCAGCAGCAUUGGCAGUGUCUGAAAUCUAAGUUAUAGAAAGGAUGUUUAGGUUUGUCAUGUGAAGCUGUUCUGUGAUGAUGAAGAACAUUUACCAAAAGAUACAGCACUGCUGGAUGGAUAAUAAUCUUCUUCCUGGAAGAUUGCCAAUAAUUUCAAGUUUUGAUCAUAAUGUGGACAGAGUUAUGUUAGGUUAUAUGCAAUGAAAGAAAAAAUAUUUAUCUUUUUCUUUAUUAUAGAAGAUUUCAGUAUGAUUAAGGGUUCAUAUUACCUAUUCCUUAGACAUAAUAGGCAGUAAACGUUGGAAUCAUCACCUACAAAUGUUUCAGAAGGGACUGCCUCCCUGUUCUAAUAAGAGAUAAUAAUUGUUGUUGUUCUUCCGAGAAAUUAAGCAGUCAGAUGAGAGAUUGAUGUUAUUCUACUGAUGAAUCUGCUUAUCUAAACUCUUUGCAGAUGAAUCUGCAAGGACGACUACCGUGCAGCAGAUGAUUGCAUUCUCUAAAUUCUUUCUUCUGUUUCCUUUCUGAAGUCGGAGGACCAAAAGAUUACAAUUCAUUGGAGGCAGCAAGUACUAACAAAUCCACUGCUAGAGCAAUUCAGAAGAGGUAAAUGAUCUCUAGUUGGUGCUUGAUGCAUAUAUCCUGAAUGAAUCAGAUUUUUGAUGUAUCUGCUGUUCCUUCCUAGAAUCAUUCCCAGCAGGUGAUAGUUAUGUACCAGUGAUGGUGUUUAAUAAAAAAUGAGAUCCAUGACAUAUCCUUUUCUCUCUUCUGAAGGCAACUUAAUGUUUGCGAAACAAAGUUUUUUUUCCCCUUUUAAUUUUUUUGAUGAAUUAUUAAAAAUUUGAAUUGUUGUCACUUGAUAGCAGAAAUUGGUGUUAUCAUUUCUGUUUACAUAUUGGAAUAAUUUACUUUCAUUUGAUGGAAAUUGAUAGGUAUUGAAGUUCCUCAGUGGUUGCUGUGGUCAAGCAAGAGGAUAAACAACAAAGCAUACAGAGAACUUUCAGCCUGUAAAAUCUCUCCCUCUUCCCUUUCCUCCUUCCAUCUUCCAUCUCUUAUUUCCUUCCUAGUGGCAACCAUGAGUGGCUGCUCAAGGAAAUUGCUGUAGUGCCUCCUCAUUCUCUAUCUUGUCCUUUAUGUACAGUUCAAAAGUCCUCAUCAUGUGACGCAGCUUUUCUAAUACCAACCACUAACUCAGUCUUAAGUUCCUUCUAAUUAACAUGAAAAGGUUUUUUUACUCCAAAGGCAGAUUGUGGCAGUAGAAUCCAUGGAUGACACCUUCACGAAUGUAAGUCAAACUUUUCUGAUUCCUACUAAUUUCUAUCGGUUCGGAUUCUUCGUUAAAUCUCCAUCACCAAAAUCAUCUUAACAUCUCUAUCUUGAACCAAUCCUGAUACAAGCUUUGAGUCACAAAACUCAUCUAAUGUCACCUGUGCAGGGAAAUGAAGAUGUGGCUGCUCUAGAUGGCAUCGGUCGCAGUUCCAAGACCAGUAUGCAAACCUUCACUAUCUGUUUGUACAUGUGCGACCAAGACCAGUACGCAAACCUUCACUAUCUGUUUGUAUAUGAUCAGUGAUUCUAAAGUAAAAUCCCAAUACUGACACAAAACUGAGGAUCUUGCCUAGAACAGAUGCAUGCUAUAGAGGCCAUGUCUGCAAUUAAUGCAAAGAUAAUAAGAACAAAGAAGGCGUAACAAUGGCACAGUUCAAGUAGCACUUCUUCAUAGUAGUGCUGGCUUGAAUUCUAAGUGAAAGAUUAGGAUGAAGAAGUAAAUUGUAGGACAAAAGCAGUCUGCCUGCAGAAGUUUCAUGCCACACUGAGGGUAAUGGGGUUAGCCAUUCAAGCAUUAAAUAUCUUAGACAGCAACCAAUAGUUCUAUCCUCACUUUCUUCUACCUUGUACUUCCCCAGAAACAUGGGUUUGGUGAUGAAGAUCUUUCAACCCAAAAACCUUGGCUGGAAAUGACGGUUGGGAAUGCACAUGCCUGUGCUGUGAUACACUCAUGCAUGAGGAGGCAGAGGUUGGUGGAGCUUUACAAUAUAAUUGAGACCCAUAUCAGUCGGAUUGGUUGGUGCGGUACCAAGUUUUUGGUUGAUUCCUCAUCUGGUAGGUUUCCACAAUGAAUGCCUUCUUUGUGUCUGGCCUAUGAUUGCAGCACUCGGUUUCAGAAAACAGAUGUUGGUGGAUGCAUUCUACAUAGUCGCAUGUAACUCAACCACAGAGAAUUGAACCCCUGGUGCAUCUGGUAACCUGUCAACACUUGCAUCAAACUGUGGCUGAUCCAAGGAACAAUGUUUUUGUACAUCAGCAGGAUCAUUUAUUUCCCAGUAUUAGCUUCUUGUCAUGGAUUGUUCUACCUUAUCAACCUCAUUAGCCUGCCUUCAAUAUAAGGUUGAGUUUGUGCAGGGGAAGCAAUCUGAAAGAUUCAUCAUGAGGGUCCUAAAUCAGAUGUGGCAGCAACCAUCAGCUUAAGGUGAAUUAGCACACAGCCUUUACAUAUAGAUAACCAAAACAUCAUUUGUUUCUCUUGAUAACAACAAUUUAUUUUCUGUUCCCCUGUGCAGUCCAAAUCUUUUUCAUGGAAAUCAAAAGCAAUCUCUUAUUUAUGCAUGCACCCACCUGGUGUACAGUAACUGAGGAGAAAAUUUUGGUUGAGACCUUGUGUCAUCAGCUGGUCUUCCCACAACAAUUAUUUGCUGCUACAAUGACCAGUGCAGUGACAGUCAAGAUAUUCUAGUUGUCCUUGGAAUGUGGGUAUAUAAUCCAUAAGCAGUCAACAACACAAACCAACCACAGUGAUUAGGUGAGGUAGAACCAAAGCCCCAACAGUCCUCUCCUCUCUCUAGAAGCCCUCCAACCCCCUAGCCUUCAUUGUGAUGAAUAAGGCAUGGUCCAUUUGGAUUGAGACCAUUGGGGAUGGUUCCAUCAACUGGCAUUCCUUUCCCAUCUUUCCUUGUUUCUUUCAGUCCUACAGAUUGAGAAGCUGGUGAAUGAGUCAAGAAAAGGUGGCUAAGCUCUGGAAGGAAGUAAAGAAACUUCUGGUGCCCUUCCUUCCUCUCUUAAGCUUAUUAGGAAGGUCAUGAAUGAGCCACUUGGUUCAGAGUAAAAGCUGUCAUCUUUUGAAUCUUGUAGGGUCACAUGUGCCAACUUUUCUUGUUUCCUUGAAGCUGGAUCACAGUCCAAUUGAUGGAUGGAUAUCUACAGGGAGACUGGAAGAGUGUACUGGUGCAGAUGGGCAUUGAGUGAGUGCAAGUACACAACCUGCUGCUGGAGUCAAGACUCUGGAACAUCUCAACAUAUCUGUCAUUACUUCCCUAACCUGUUGAUUGUUCUUGUCACCCCAUCUUUCUUCUCUUCUAACUUUCUAAGAUGCUUGAUUGCCUGGCCAGUAUGCAACAGUGACUGGUAGGUGAAAAGUAUAAUAAUGACCAUGACAUUGUGUUUCUGCCCCUGCUUAUUUCUAGAGAGACAAAACAGACAUUGUUUCCAUGUGUGUACUGCAUGCAACAGGUGUAAUCUAUGAUGAAAUCAUGAGGAUGAUUUACACAUGUUUAAUCAUUAAGAUUAGUGGCAAUGGAGGUGAGCCAAUUCUCAUCAGAGGCACAUAAAAUGAAGAGAAAUAUAGAUGAAAAACUUGACCAGGGUUAACAAAUUGGACAUGAUGACAACCAUGAUUAGAAGAGAAAAGCUGACAUUAAUAAGCCUAUGACAAAAUGGUACCCUAAUUUAUUGCAUGAGAUGAGUACUAUGGUAAAUGUCUUCCCUUGCAUUCAUUAAGAGUCCAAGGAUGGGAGAGAGAAUGAAGAAAGAUGGGAGAUAUAGAAGAUGUGUAUACAAACUAGGAAGUAAAAUACCAAACACUUUUCUUUUGUGGUGAUUCAUUCUUCCUUCAUCAAUCAAUAGUUACAAACAACUUCUUUUACAUGAAAAAAGAAAAAGAAUAGUUGAUUUAUUUUUUAUUCAUGUGAUGACUAUAAAAAGGUGGAUAAAAGGUGAUCUUUGUCUGCCACAUUAAGUUUAUCAUAAGGCUCCAUUAAUAGUGUUACUAAUCAUUUAUGUUAAUUCCAACUAGAUAUUAGAGAACUGGCUAUCUCUAUCCAUGAUGAUGCACAAUAAAUUUUUAUUUGAGAUAAAUACCAUGGAAGUUUAAUGUUGGCAAACAUGAACCUAAUACAGAAUUGAAGCCAAGUUCAAAGUUGUUCAUCCAACUUUAAACAUCAAUAUCUCAGCCUACCCAAACAAUAUUUUUGUAAUUUGAAAGAAUUGAUGAACAAAGUCACAUCUUCAUACACAUGAAUGCAUAAAGAAUGUUAGGAACACAAGCUUCUCACAAAAGUAAGUCAUGGAUGACUGCAUUGGCUAAGACUGCCAAUAAAUAAGAAUAAAGUAAUUAGUAAAAAAAGAAGAAGAAAAGCUCAACUUGUUCCACAAACAAAGAGGAGAAGGGUUGGUCACCAAAUUGAUGGAUUCUCUCUCUCCACCCCUUUUGCUCCUCCUACACACAUAAGUGAGGGUUUCUAGAACCUUUGUGAGAUGGGCCAUAAAAAUAUGCAGAUUGCAACAAAAUAAUAUUUUAUUUACACACUGUGUUCUUUUCACAUAGGCCAUUGCUUUUUGUCUAUUGACAUCUCUAUACAAUUCUUUUGAUUUCUAUUAAAUUUUAGCCCUUGUCUUUAACAUCCAUUAGUUGGUUUAAGUACAAUUUGACAUUCACUAAAUAUGAAUUUAAAUGAUAUUACCACAAUGUGAAUAAAUCAUUUUUUUUAAUUUUUGGUUAUAAUAUUCUUCAUUCCUUUGAUUAAAUGUUCACUUUUUGAUUGAUCCCUUUUUUUUAUUUUGUAACAAAAAAGAGGAUGAUUUCAUUCAUAUAUGGGAAUUAAAAAUUGAUUAACAAAUCAAAUUCCAUGAAUAUUAGUGUUAUUGAGGUGUUUGGUUGUAAGUAUGAAUGCUAAAAGCAAUAAUUGCAAGUCAUGUUGUAAACAGUGAUAAAAGGAGAAUUCAUUAAUAAAUAGCUUAAAUUUAAAGGGCCAAUAUGCAAAAAAAGGCUUAUAGAACAAUUGCAGGUCAUGUUGUAAAUAGCGAUAAAGCGAUGAUUUAUUGAUAAUUAACUUAAAAUUAAAGGACCAAUAUACAAAAACGCAUUAAGAGAAUCAUGUUGUAAAUAGUGAUAAAACGAGGAUUCAUUGAUAAUUAGCUUAAAAUUAAAGGACCAAUAUACAAAAACGCAUUAAGAGAAUCAUGUUGUAAAUAGUGAUAAUUAGCUUACAAUGUAAGGACCAAUAUGCAAAACAAACAGCCGCAAACCCAGACGUACAGGUAGACCUACCUAACGAAUCCAACGCCCGGCUCUCUCUCUCUCUCUCUCUCUCUCUCUCUCUCUCUCUCUCUGUGCUUGCACAAAACUCAGUCAAAUGAUCCUCAAAGGAUGGAGUCAAUGUGCGUUCACAGCUUCCCUUCUCAUAUAAAUCCAUCCAUCCCCUCUCUCUCUCUCUUCCCUUGUUCCACUCCUUCCUUUCCAACUCAGCCUUCUUUGUCUCUAUCUCUCUCUCUCUCUCUCUCUCUCCUCCUUUGCCUCUUCCUUCUCCCAUCUCAAGCUGCAGAUCACACGGAAGCCCCACUGGUUGUGCUGGUAUGGGCAGGUCUCCAUGCUGUGAGAAGGCACACACCAACAAAGGAGCAUGGACCAAGGAGGAAGACCAGAAGCUCAUCUCCUACAUCAAAGCCCAUGGCGAAGGUUGCUGGAGAUCACUCCCAAAAGCUGCAGGUCCUCCUCUCGAGCAUCCCAUCCUGUGCUGCCACCCAGCUUUUGCUUAUGCUUCCGUGCUUGUUUGUACAGGCUUGCUUCGGUGCGGGAAGAGCUGCAGGCUCAGGUGGAUCAACUACCUCCGGCCCGACCUCAAGCGCGGCAACUUCACAGAGGAGGAAGAUGAACUCAUCAUCAAGCUCCAUGGCCUGCUCGGAAACAAGUGCGUCGCCUUCUUUGGCUUCACCGGUCGAUGACAGACCUACGUACACAACAGCUGCUGCUUCUUGUUCGCAUGCGUGUAACGUUGAUUCGUCGUUGCAGGUGGUCGCUGAUAGCGGGGAGAUUACCGGGGAGGACGGACAACGAGAUCAAGAACUACUGGAACACCCACAUCAAGCGGAAGCUCCUCAGCCGGGGCAUCGACCCCCAGACGCACGGCCCGAUCAACGGCGGCGCCACCGCUGCCUUCGCCGCCCCUCACCCAUCCGAGACCGCCGUCCCGAAAGCGUCAGCGACCGACUCCUGCGACGAGACCAACAGCAGCGGAGGCAGCCAGGACGACGACCCGGACGGCUACCUCGACCUCAACCUCGCCCUCUCCAUCAGUCUCCCCCACCGCUCCCCCAAGCGCUCCCGACCUUCGGAGCCUCUAACAUCCGCCGCAACAAGCAGCAGCCCUCAGGCCAUUUGUUUGUGUUGCCAUCUGGGUUUCCAGAGCGGCGAAGCUUGUAGCUGCCACACCACCCAAAACCCGCCGCAUGUACUGAGGGUAAUCAGACGCCUGGAAGAAGCUCAACACUAGUUGAGGUUGCAUUGUAACUCUGUGAUGAUACCUUCCCACUGUGUGGAAGUAUGUUUUGAGUUACUUUGAACUGCUGAAUCAGUGUGCAGUCUCUGUUAAAGCUAAAUGUGUUGUUAGGUGCCAAACAAAAGGAGGCCAAAGGUGAUAAGAAAUGUGUGAAACGCAGCAAGGAAUGGUGUUGGGGGCACAUCAGCUGAGGCCUUUGUCACCUAUACAAGUGUGGCGAACAUGUGAUGUGCUGUGCGUGGUAGGUUAACCUCAUCUGCCAUUAAUGAGUGGGAAGCGCAAGGGAUGGCUUGUGGGGUUUGGUUGGUUAGAGGAUGAAUGGUGUGUCUCUUGUGCAGUGUGGUGUGUGGCAGUUGGUAGGAUAUUAAUACUCCACUCUUUCUUUUUGAUGUAUCCAUAUAUAUCUUCAUGUUAGAACUGAACACACACACUUGCAUGCCAACACAAACUUGCAGAUAGGGCUUUUAGAUUUCCCUGUAAAAAUGCCAAGAAUCAUAUCAGGAAAGGUAGCAGUUGGUAGGCUAAUAAAUACAGUAGCAAAUUAAGCUGUUGGACUACAGUGUCAGGUAACUUGUCAGAUCUCUUUGGUCAAACUCUGCUCCUCCUCCUCUUCUUCUUCUUCUUCUUCUUCUUCUUCUUCUUCUUCUCUCUCUCUCUCUCCAUCUAUAUAUAUUUAUAUAUCCAAAAGUUGACAGCUCAUUGGAUGCCAGUUUAUUCUACUCUAAUUAAUGCCACCAGUCCUUGGGAGAAGAAAAAACAUAUGGGUUAGUACUGGUUAGAUAUGUGUCAGUAAUGUCAAUAAUCAACUUCACAUGCAACAGUACUUAGUUCCUGAAAGCAUCUAUUGAUUAACUAUAGUAUCCACUUGUCGGCCAUGGUACUAAGCUCCAAUUAUCGAGUAGCUUUCACUCCACAGCACACAUUUAAUUCUAGCAGCUGGUGGUACUAUUGCACUUCACUUGAGGAACUGUCGUUGAAUCGAUCAGCGGAAAGAAUGUAGAACAGAAAAAAAAUGAGGAAAAAGAAGAUGAAUCCACGUAUCAGAAGCUAUUAUACCACAAAUCAUGCAUGCAACCAUUGUGCUGUGGUGGUUUGGUUCACUGAUCUGAGUUCCUAAUUCCGGCCUGUAUUCCCAUGCUCGAUUCAUCUUCUUCUUUCUACUGUAUUCCAUGAAGUUGCCACUGUCGCAGUAUUUCCAUGUUCUAAAUGUGGUCCUCCUCAGGUUCGAGUUAUGAACCAUAAAGCUUGCUGUCCUCUGUCUCAAAUGGCGAUGUGCGAGACGGUGUUGCAGGUGUUAACCUCAUACUUCCUCGAGGUCAAGAGAGGGUGGUUUAUUGCAGACCAAGCUUCCAUGUUGCAUUGGUCCGGCGGAGAGGAGAGGGCCCUACACACUUGCAUGCAGCAGCUGUAGCUUCUAAAGUCCUCUACGAUGAGGAAGAAAGAGAGAGAGAGAGAGAGAGAGAGAGAGAGAGAGAGAGAGGAAAAACAUCUUUACAAGGGAAAGAAAUGGUUUCGAGAUUCCUCUCUUGCUUAUCCUGAGUGACAAUGGAAGGCCUCAUGCCGAGCACUGGGACACCUUCCGAAAGCAUCAAGCGUACAAUGUGUCCACCACUGGCAUGACCUUUAGGCGUGAAAAGGCUAUUCCCCUUUGACCAUCCCACAUAUGGGUGGAAGAUAUCGAUUCCACAAAAUCUACCAUGCAUUAUCCAAGACCUAAAAAAUUGGUAAUAAUGAAAGAAUCUCCCAUGUUCCUCCUGACCUUUACUCAGCACCUCAGCCCCAUGCAUCCAAGGAUAGUGCAGCAGAGGCCCCAUGCAAAGGGGGAUUCUGAUGCACUGGUUCUGGUUGGAAGGCACAGCCAAGCCUCUCGGUUCUCUGCUACCAACUUGGACAGGAAGAGAAGAGAGAGAGAGAGAAGCUGGACAUAUGCAGAAAGAGGCAUUGGACUGGUAGUUGGUGGUUGGUAGCCAAAUGACAUCACCCAAAGACACAACCACCACUGCCUGUGUUCCAUUGAAUUCAGGGUUGUGCCUGUGAUGUCUUUUGCUUCCCUCAUGUCCUUCCUUUUUCUGGGGAUCUUUAACCUUUGAAUCAGUGGAUGGCUGUUGGGAAAAGUGUAGGGCUUAGAUUCUAGAAGGGCCAACCCCACCCAACCCUGUUGGUGUUGAUGGGUUUGGCUUUAUUAGGCUGGAAGCUAUCUCCAUCAAGGCACCAACAGCUAGAGAUAUUUUAUCCAUGCCCUCAAGUAAGCAAACACCAUGCCCUUUCUAGAGCUCCAUGGAGAUCUAAUUUACACUGAACACUGCUUGUUCUGACAUCAUACUUAUCAUGGUUCAUAUUCCUUGGAGUUUACCAGCCUCUUCACUUGUUUUCAUUGAACAUUAUGACUUGCUAUUGUUAUAUGUGUGUAUAUAUAUAUUAUCUUCUAUGUUUAAUACUAGUAUAUGGUGCUGGGACUCGACUCUGGUUUCUUGCCCACCUUCUUCUACCCACCAGCUUGUCCUGCUCCUUAUGUGCUUAUUGCUUGCUGCUUUAUCUCGGCUUUAACACCUGAAUCUUCUUGAGAGAUCAUCUGUGAACAGGAAAAGAUACAAGUGCAGCGAUUCUGGUGAUGGUUGGAAGGAGUAAAUGCAUAUGGUGAGGGAAAGGGAAAGAGGGUGGAUUGAUGUGCCAUGGUUGAUGGCCUUUCCUGACACACCUCGAGGGAACACUACUUGUUCAUUUGUCCUCCACAACAUGCUGCACCUACUUGGCUUCUACUUGUACGGUGGAAAACCUUGAUCGUAGCCAGGCAUCACAGACUUGUCGAAUUGAGAAUUGAUGACAGAUGGAGGUAGAAAGAAGAAGGAAAAUUAGGCAAAGCCUGCCUCACAGCAACUGCCAAGAUUUCACCAGUGCAUCACUGAUGAAGUGGCACAGAGGCAACCAAGAAAAGUUUGGUGAAUGGAAACUUCCAGUGAUCUCUUUCAUCACAUCACCAAAACUCUUGUAUUCAUGGUUCUUACUUACCAGUGAAACUUUCCUUGGAUGUGCAAUCUGUUUAGUAUUUUGGGCAGAACAUUUUAGAGUUCUUGUUGUGGAUUCCUUUUCUAUUCUCAGCUUAUGUUACCAUAGAGAGUUUUGUGGAUGCUUGAAGUCACCUCUAAACUCAGAAGACUUUGUGGGGAUCAAAUAGUUCAUCAGCAUGAAUCAAACCAUGACAAUUCAGUCUCACAAACAAAGCAGAAUUGCCAACCAGUUAAUAUGGCAACUGCAAAUGCUUCCGUAGACAAUUAAUAAGCAUCAUAAAUCUAGAAGAUGAUCCUUCAAACAGAAGACAUCAAGCAUCCAAUGUAGGUCAUAGUUUAUCUAGAAUGGUGUCUCAGCUGUAAUUCUUCCAACACAGGAUUCAAUAGCCCGAUAUUUGCCUUCCUAGAAAAGAAAACAUGUUCUCUUAAUCAUCACUGAAACAUUAAGCCUUCUUCCUUCUCUGUGUUCAGUGUGCUCAAUAGUUUCACAUUCAGCUAUGAUGUGCCAUCUUUGUUUGCAAUGCACUUCAUCCCUAAGCACUCCACCAUCCAGUUUACAUCUUGAUUUCAAUGUGUCAAACUGAAUAAUUGACUCAUCGUUUUCAAUGGCACUGGAAAUGGACAAAGUAAGGGCUGUGCUAAUUCUACACUCCAGCUUAGAUGAGAAACUCCAAUUGAUUCAACAGAGACAUGCAGAGCCCACUGAAUCCUUUGUGAAACUUCUGCAUCAGACAGUAAAUGGAAGGUUCAGAGCUCAUGUUCAGUUGAUGUUUGCUUACACAAGCAUGUAAAUAGAACAGGCUCCGAACUGCAUCAUGUAAUGAUCAGAUCAGCAACUCUGCAGUCCAAACAACAAUCCUUGUUAUAACAUAGCAAGAAACUGAAUGAAAAGGGACCAGGCAACCCAAGGAAUAAAUCUACAAUGAAUCUUCUCAAUAUAAACAAAGAAAUAAGAAGCUACACCGAAUCAACGGAACGAUAAUCGAUCAAGAGAUUCACCUUCGAUAUGGCCAAACAGCAGAGCUAAAGGGAUGAACUUGGCUGUGCUUGGAGAUGCUGACUUGAGAUAAGUGGAAGCCCACGGCCCGGCUUUCAGUAGCUCCACAUGCUGGGCAAGCGGCAAAGGACCGGUUCGGCCCAAAGUAGUGUGGAAAAGAACCGAACCCGAGUCAGGCCGUCAUUAAUUUCAAUUCGACUCAAAUUGGAAAGGGCUUUGUACGAAAUAUGAAGCCUUUUAUCUUGCACGUUUAUGUGAAGUCUAGUGGGAAGAAAACCGGACCGGAGUUGACUCCGGUUCGGCUCAAAUUUUUCUGUAGAUUUUCAAUAAGACUUGAGAUGGACUUAUAUGAAAAUUUUUAAGAUGUGAGGGACUAAUGUGGAAAUGAAGCUUUCUAUUGUCCACGUUCGCAAUAUAUUGUCGUCUCCCUCUCCCAAUUAUAACGUCUUGUAAUAGUAUUACGAAACCCGAAGCACAUGGCCGAGGUGAGCCAGAGCAAGGCAGCUGCGGUGGCGGCGACCGAGGAGGUCGUGGUCGGGAAGGUGGCGCUGACGCCGACGGACGAGGUGGUUAAGCAACUGGAUGUGGUACCUGCUCCGGAGGUUGUGAAAGGGCCAAAGAAGGUGGCAUUACUAUCGGCACUGGCCGCCGAGGCGGCGGCUGAGGCGGAGGAGAAGCGGGCAUGUGGCGCGGAGAAGGAGGCCGCGGAGAAGGCUGCCUCCGUCUUCCAGGCCGUCUCCUUCAAGGAGGAGAGCAGCCUCGUUGCUGACCUCGAGGACCACGAGAAGAAGGCCCUCGAUGAGAUGAAGCAACUCGUACGGGCCGCCCUCGCCAGCCGCGAGUUCUCUUCCGCUCCGCCUCCACCAGCUGCCUCAUUGGCCAAGGAGGCAAAGCUCGAGGAGCCGCCCGCAUCUACCCUUGUGGAAGCGCCGCCGAAGCCCGCGACCGAGACGCCGGCUCCACCGAGCAGGCAGGCGGAGGACGACGAGGCCCCGGAACAGCAAUCGGCGGCGGAUAAGAAUACUGUCACGGCGAACGAGGAUGGGGCCAAGACGCUGGAAGCCAUAGAGGAAACCGUGGUCUCCGUCGCCGCCACUCCUCCACCCGAGGAGGCCAUGACUCCAGUGGCUGCUGAGGAGGAAGCGGAGAAGACCGAUGCCGCCGCCGCGGCGUCGGCCGCGAAGGAGGUCCUCAUCUGGGGCAUCCCACUUCUGGUCGACGAGAGGAGCGACACUGUGCUCAUCAAGUUCCUCCGUGCGAGGGACUUCAAGGCGAAGGAAGCCAUGGCCAUGCUAAAGAACGCCGUGCUCUGGAGGGAGGAGUUCGGCAUCGAGGCCCUCCUAUCGGAGGACCUCGGCGUCCCGGAGCUGGAAAGGGCGGUGUUCAUGCACGGCGCCGACAGAGCCGGCCACCCCGUGUGCUACAACGUCUACGGGGAACUCCAAAGCAAGGAGCUCUACGCGCUGGCUUUCGCUGACGAGAAGAAGAAGAAGCGGUUCUUGAGGUGGAGGAUCCAGUUCCUGGAGAAGGGCAUCCGGAAUCUGCUGGACUUCACUCCAGGCGGAAUCUCGACGAUGGUGCAGGUCGCUGAUCUCAAGAACUCGACCGGCCCGGCCAAGGAACUCCGCCAUGCCUUCGCUCUGCUCCAAGAUAACUACCCGGAGUUCGUCGCCAUGCAGGUAGCUGGAGUUCCUUCUUCUUCUUCCAUUGUUUCCAAAGAUUUCUUAGUUGAACAAAGUGGUGGAUUGAAUCUUCUUUUCACCAAAAUUGCAUUUUGAUGAAUGGAUCGAAUCAAAAAGAUGCAAAGAAAUUUGAUCUGUGGAGUUGAAUUGGUCUCUGCAUGCCUAUAUUUUCGUCUAUUCAAUAAUUGUUUGAAUGCUGACACAUUCUGUGUUGCCAUCGUUAGAUAUUCAUCAAUGUUCCAUGGUGGUAUUUGGCCUUCAAUCGGAUGAUGAGCCCCUUCUUCACGCAGAGAACCCGGAGCAAGUUCGUCUUCGCAAGGCCCUCAAACACAGCCGAGACGCUCUCCAAGUUAGCAGCAUCUGUCAAUAUUGUCUUCUGCCUUCACCUUGCUCCACCAUAGUUUGGUUGUCCUGAUGCACAAUCGAUUCAUCUCAUCAGAUACAUUGCUCCCGAGCAAGUCCCGGUUCGAUAUGGCGGCCUGAGCAAGGAGAAUGACCCAGACUUCACCUCUUCUGAUGCUGUUACAGAGAUCACCAUCAAGCCCUCAAUGAGGCAAGCCAUAGAGAUUCAGGUUACUGAGGUAGGGAACUCCUCUUCCACUUCUGAACCAGUAGCAAUUGCAUGCAUUUUGGAACGUAAUGCUGUCUCUGCAGAAAUGCCUUCUCGUUUGGGAGCUGCGAGUUCUUGGCUGGGAAGUGACGUACGGCGCCGAGUUCGUGCCAAGGUCGGAGAACGGAUACACGGUGAUCGUGCAGAAGGAGAGGAAGUUGGUCGCCGCCGAUGAGCCAGUCCUCAAAGGCAGCUUCAAGAUCGGAGAGGCAGGCAAAAUUGUUCUGACAGUCCAUAACUCUGGCUCCAAAAGGAAGAAGCUUCUCUACAGGUACAAGAUCAAGAGCUCAGCUGAAUCCACCUGAGCUUCCUGGUGAACUGCAACUGAAGAGCUCGAAGAAAGGAAAUGGCUGUGAAGGAUUAGCAACUAAUCCUUCUCAUGGGUUCAAUGAUGUUAGCUCAUACAAAACUUCAUCUUUAACUUUGCCGGUCCAUGUUUUGCCCACUCUGGAGAUUAUGUGCAAGGAGGAGUUCUCAUGCUGCUAAUCCAGCAAAUUAUCUUCAAAGCAUAUGGUUACACUGUUGAAGGCAAAUCUUUGUCUAAUAUGUAGUGUCAGCAUUACAUUGUACUUGGAAAUAUUUGAACUGCUGGUCUCCUCAAUCAUAUAACUUGAAGUAUUCUACUUGUUUGAUGUUUUCAGUACCGUCUGCAAGUUUGGCCCAUCCAAUUUAGAUACAAAGGUUUGAAAUCCACAAUAAAUAUUACAUAUCUUCAAUGUAAUGAAGAUAGUAAAUUGUAGUGCUCCCAAAUGAAUUGGGAACAGGGAAGUGCUUUUCAUGGGGAAGGAAAGAUACAAAGGUUCUGAUGCAUAGGGAAUCUGACCACCCUCUCUAUCUCUAAUUUGCAGGUGAAUCCUAUGCUAACUUGUCAGGAUUACAUGUAGUUUACUAGGUGGUGGUGAGGAAAAAGGAGUUGAUAGUUUUGAUGCACACCACAGUGAUCCUCUGCACAUAGUGAAUUGACAAAGAGAGCUCUCUGUCCCAGAAUGUUCACUGCAUUGACUCCAGGGAGAGCAGACAACCAUGUGUACAGAGUGCAUCAAUCAUCUAUCACACAGUUAGACCAUCUAACACACACACACACAAGAGAGAGAGAGAGAGAGAGAGAGAGAGAGAGAGAGAAGAAGAACNNNNNNNNNNNNNNNNNNNNNNNNNNNNNNNNNNNNNNNNNNNNNNNNNNAGAGAGAGAGAGAGAGAGAGAGAGAGAGAGAGAGAGAGAAGAAACAGUGGCAAUCAGCCAUUGGGAAGAUUUGCCAAAGCAAGAACAUUGGUUCCUUUUGAGUGGCAAAAGAAAGAGACUGAAAUCCUUCAGAUAACAGAGCCUCAUCCCUCCAUAGUUUAAACUUUGCUUUUGCUUUCUUUCUCAGAGGACCCUAAGUUCUGCAUUCAUGACAAAGAAGAUUAAACUUAUGUAGAAUUAAGGCAUACUGCUUAAUCAACCCAAAUUGUAGUCUAUUAUGUGUGGCAUUAAAGAUGUAACCAAUUGUUGGUGGUCCUGAGUCUUGUAUGAGGCCAUUUCCUGCUUUAAUUGAAGGUGCAGAAGAAAAGGCCAUGUUUUGCAGGACAUCCUAAUUCACUCUUUGGAUAGUUUUCUGAACCUUUUGUUCUUUGUGCUAGAUUUAGAAAAGUAUCAGUGACAUCCUCUCUUGUCAUGCUCAGAAUGACCAUGCCAUAUUGUCUUCAUCUCAGAAAACAAUCUUAUGAUCCUUGCUGUCUGUGAAUUUGUUGGUUUGGACUUGGGACUUACUGCACUAACAUUUAAGGAGAUCAAAAUCCUUUGCAUGUUAUGAGAUCUCCUCCACAUUUCUUGCCCUUGCUGAUGUAGCAUUAGUAUUUCCACUGAACCUCCUCAAAAAUUCCAUCUACAAUUUAGCAGCUAAUGUGCUGUUGUUUAUAUAACCCAACUGGGAGCCAGAGAUGUUCUAAAAGGAAAGGAAGAAAGCCAGAGUCUUGCUUUUGGCAGUUCAAAGUCUCAAUCUAUCCUCCUUUGAAGAAAGCAUCAAAAAGAGGAGAAAAAAUAAAGACAAAUUAUGUUCUGAAGGAGAAUGAUGAAUUCCAUUUUAUCUGCAACCUUCAAGUUUUUUACUCAGUGGACAACAAUCUUUGCUUCUCUGUUCACCCAUGUGCAUGUGUGAUCUCCUGAAACCCUAGCCUGUAUCCUCCCUUUUUCUGCAAGGAACAUAGCCUGCACCAAGCUAUCAAAGGUCCUAGGCCUCUCAACACAAAAAGUAGCAGAUCAAACCAGUGACAAAUUCCUUGUCACAAGCAUCUUCUGAUCACCAUCAGCUUACCACUGAGCUUCAAGUUCUCUUGUAGCCUAGGUUUGGGUGCCAUGAGAGCAGCCUUAUAACUAAGGCAUGGAGAGACAUCACAGAGUCACAGUAAAGGAGAUCUCCAAGCUCCCAUUAGUGCCCAUCAUUCUGCUAUCUUUUCUGUCUUUGAAUGAAGCUGACUGCUCUUCGAGAGGGUUUGCUUUCGGACAUCAACAUGGCCCCACCGGCCAGACUCAACGUCGAUCCAACAGGAAGAAGACAGGGGAGAGGCCUGAGAGGGGCAACCCAACACCAUCAUCAAACAAGGAAAAGGGCAGAAAGGAAAAGAAGAGACGGGGCUGUUGAUGGUGGCCACGCCCAAGGCUUGCUGUCCUCGCCAAGCGUUGGCUUUAUGCGGGGAAUCUGACUGCUUCCUGCCCUUUGAACUGGUCAUUGGUGGCCGAAGGCAGCAAAGGCAUGUGCUUGCUGCUUCGUCCUGGGAACACAGAGACCAAGUGGUGGGUGCCAUUAUUGGCAUCAUUUGAGCUUGGAAAGAUCUGCAAGAUCAUCUUCUUCUUCUUCUUCUUG
RNAcentral lists this long non-coding RNA (29283 nucleotides) under Musa acuminata (dwarf banana). Its description in RNAcentral is "long non-coding RNA (MACU_LNC003083)". Lineage: Eukaryota; Viridiplantae; Streptophyta; Magnoliopsida; Zingiberales; Musaceae. The record is from RNAcentral.